This 1435-nucleotide long non-coding RNA is filed under the name Cervus hanglu yarkandensis (Yarkand deer). RNAcentral describes it as "lncRNA (ENSCHYG00000008808.1)". The record is from RNAcentral. Lineage: Eukaryota; Metazoa; Chordata; Mammalia; Artiodactyla; Cervidae.
AUGCUCAUGGAAAGAGCGGCUCGGAAGUCCGGGCCGAGCGAUGGGUCCUGGGACUCAGCGCUUCCUCCCUGCCCCGGGCCCUCCCACUGGACUGGAGUGCAGCUCCACGUGAGGGUGCUGAGCUGGCCAGCCCAUCCCACCCCGGCCCCCGCCCCACACCCAGCAGGACUGACUUCUGACGCACAGAUUCAGCCCUGGCUUAAAGCCUCUGUUCCCAGCCUCGGCCUGCCCUGGCCUCCUGUGCGGCCCCUCGGCCGACUCCCGCUGCAGCCCGCGAGGCUCCCUUCCACUCUCCUGACCCGGGGCCCUCGUGACGCCGCUCCUCCCGCGGGGAUGCCGGCCCGGUCUCUCCUUUCACCCUCACACAGCAACCGCUUCUGCGAGCGGCUGUCGCUGCAGCCUGCGGGGCGGGGCCCAUGCACCCACCUCGGUGUUGGGGCCACCCGCGCACCAGCUCAGGCCGUCUGCCCCACCGUGCUGUGCACCCCGUCGGGCCCUGUGACCCCUCUCUGCCCCGUCUGUGCCCAGGAGGGAGAAGGUUGUUCACAUGGGGCCCCAAUGCCAGUGGGGUCUGACCCCUCGGGCAGACCCCUCAUGGUCGGCGGCCCGCCGCGUGCUGGGGUGGGCAUGGACCAGGCCUCAGCAACGCCUGCUCCCCCGCAGGUCAGGCCACCUGGCCACCCUGGAGCCUGGACGAGAGCAGCAAUGAUGGUGUGGACGUGGAGGAUGCCAGCCCGCUCUGGCUCACCUUCCUGGCCCUCUUCCUCGUCACUGUGGUCUACGGCGGCUUCGUCACCUUCAUCAAGGUGAAGUAGCCCUGGAGAGAAGACACCAGGCUCCGCACAGACAGAACCUGGCCUCCACACCGCCUGCUGCUCCCAGAGGGCAGAGGAGCCCACGCUGGACCCCACCCUGCGGCCCCACCCUCUGUCCACCACAGAGCCCAGCCCCCAGCCCGAGGAGGACAUCAUGGUGCAGAGAGGGGGCCCCCGGAUGGCCCUGCAGCCCCAGAGCCGGUGGCCCUGGCUGCAGCCCCCUUGCCUCCCCACCCACCAUCCGCCACAUAAAGAGCUUUGAUCCUUCUUCCUGCCUCCUGUUUCUGUGCCCCAGCCCUCAGAUCUUGCAGGUGAGAGCACCCAGGAGGCCGAGGGCACACACCGAAGUGUGUCCACACACACAGGAGAGGUGGGCAGGGUCAGGCACGCAGCAGGGGGCUGCCUCCAGAAGAAGAUGCCGAGCCUACUGCUCCAAAGGGACUGGGCACACCAGACAUGUGCGUCCACACCUGCACACACGGGUGCACACACAUGCAGACACAUGCCCGUGGGCACACAUGCGGAGGUCUGCAUCCACACACACAUGCACACACAUGGAUUCACUCUCAUAGAGACAUGAAAGCACGUGUGCCCGUGUACCACUCAGGCGUGCGCACGCG